This 650-nucleotide ribosomal RNA is filed under the name Pseudosuberites sulphureus. Its description in RNAcentral is "eukaryotic LSU rRNA". It matches the Rfam family "Eukaryotic large subunit ribosomal RNA", at positions 659 to 1290 of the family's 3401-position model. The record is from RNAcentral. Lineage: Eukaryota; Metazoa; Porifera; Demospongiae; Suberitida; Suberitidae.
ACACGGACCAAGGAGUGCAACAUGCGUGCGAGUCUUGGGGUGUCAAACCCAUCGGCGCAAUGAAAGUGAAGGCAGGCGUUGGUCUGCUUAGGCGAGAGUCUCCUCUGGGGACACAUCGUCAACCGAUCCCAGGCUACGCUGUGGCGGGAUUUGAGUGAGAGCGUGCCUGUUGCGACCCGAAAGAUGGUGAACUAUGCCUGAAUAGGGUGAAGCCAGAGGAAACUCUGGUGGAAGCUCGUAGCGAUUCUGACGUGCAAAUCGAUCGUCAAAUUUGGGUAUAGGGGCGAAAGACUAAUCGAACCAUCUAGUAGCUGGUUCCCUCCGAAGUUUCCCUCAGGAUAGCUGGAGCCCGGUGCAGUUUUAUCAGGUAAAGCGAAUGAUUAGAGGUCUUGGGGUUGAAACAACCUCAACCUAUUCUCAAACUUUAAAUGGGUAAGAAGCUUGGCUUGCUCAACUGAAGUCAGGCAUGGAAUGCCGGGGCUCUUAGUGGGCCAUUUUUGGUAAGCAGAACUGGCGAUGUGGGAUGAACCAAAUGCCAGGUUAAGGUGCCCGAAUCAACGCUCAUCAGAUACCAUGAAAGGUGUUGGUUGAUCUAGACAGCAGGACGGUGGCCAUGGAAGUCGGAAUCCGCUAAGGAGUGUGUAACAACU